This 341-nucleotide long non-coding RNA is filed under the name Elaeis guineensis (African oil palm). RNAcentral's name for it is "long non-coding RNA (EGUI_LNC079290)". The record is from RNAcentral. Lineage: Eukaryota; Viridiplantae; Streptophyta; Magnoliopsida; Arecales; Arecaceae.
GAUGUUGAACAAAAACUGCUCCUUCAGAAGGUUGGGAAAGGAAGGAGUUGAAUAACCAAGAAGCCUCCGGGUGGCCUGAAGGUCGUCCUCCCCCAGGCUAGAAGCCCAGCGGAUAGAGUCCCUCAGGGAGCCCCAAGGGGGCAAUCCCAGCCUCAAGGUCGGGCAGUGGAUAAAAAGGUACUUCCCCUUCCAAUUAUGGAUUGAAAAGGGAGCACCUUUCAGCAACCCCUUCUUGCCAAACUGGGGAGAGAAAUACCACCAGUCCUUUGUCGAGGGAUGACGCUUGAAGGUAUAAAAAUAUCUAAACAAAGAAAGAGAUGGCUGAACUUCAACUACAUGGC